This 305-nucleotide ribosomal RNA is filed under the name uncultured bacterium. RNAcentral describes it as "bacterial SSU rRNA". It matches the Rfam family "Bacterial small subunit ribosomal RNA", at positions 333 to 655 of the family's 1533-position model. The record is from RNAcentral.
UUUCGCCUACGGGAGGCAGCAGUGGGGAAUAUUGCACAAUGGGGGAAACCCUGAUGCAGCAACGCCGCGUGGGUGAAGAAGUAUUUCGGUAUGUAAAGCCCUAUCAGCAGGGAAGAGAAUGACGGUACCUGACUAAGAAGCCCCGGCUAACUACGUGCCAGCAGCCGCGGUAAUACGUAGGGGGCAAGCGUUAUCCGGAUUUACUGGGUGUAAAGGGAGCGUAGACGGUUGUGCAAGUCUGAAGUGAAAGCCCGCGGCUCAACCCCGGAACUGCUUUGGAAACUGUGCAGCUAGAGUGCGGGAGG